Molecule: ribosomal RNA, 527 nt
Filed under: uncultured bacterium
Lineage: Bacteria
Description: partial 16S ribosomal RNA
Rfam family: Bacterial small subunit ribosomal RNA
Source: RNAcentral
UGGGGAAUAUUGGACAAUGGGCGCAAGCCUGAUCCAGCAAUGCCGCGUGUGUGAAGAAGGCCUUCGGGUUGUAAAGCACUUUUAUCAGGAGCGAAACGCUGUCGGCUAAUACCCGGCGGAACUGACGGUACCUGAGGAAUAAGCACCGGCUAACUUCGUGCCAGCAGCCGCGGUAAUACGAAGGGUGCAAGCGUUAAUCGGAAUUACUGGGCGUAAAGCGUGCGUAGGCGGUUUCUUAAGUCUGCUGUGAAAUCCCCGGGCUCAACCUGGGAAUGGCAGUGGAUACUGGGAGGCUAGAGUGUGUCAGAGGGUGGUGGAAUUCCCGGUGUAGCGGUGAAUGCGUAGAGAUCGGGAGGAACAUCAGUGGCGAAGGCGGCCACCUGGGACAACACUGACGCUGAGGCACGAAAGCGUGGGGAGCAAACAGGAUUAGAUACCCUGGUAGUCCACGCCCUAAAGCGAUGCGACUGGAUGUUGGUCUCAACUCGGAGAUCAGUGUCGAAGCUAACGCGUUAAGUUCGCCGCCU